CAAAAUAAAUUACUCAAGUUUUUGUUUUAAGCAGAUAAACAACAAAACCCAAAUUUAUAAUUUUAUUUAGACAGUACAAAUCAGGGCCAUAGAUGUGGCAAUGUCAACCCGUGGAGAGUACAAACAAAAUCAGGACAGCUAAAUAAUUAACUUUCAGAAACUUAAUAAGAUUAACUUAUAUGUGUGCUUUGAGAGGCAAUUAAAAAUGGGUGUAGAAAAGGCUACACAGACACUCAGAGCCAAAAAUGCAUUUAAGUGCUCAGCAAAAAGUGCAAAAUAUAAAACAUACAGGCAAAUAUAUACAAAAAUAUCAUAUGCAGUUAGUUUCAUAGUGCUAAUUGACACUGAGAUUACAUUUUUAUUACUGUGACAUUUUAUUUUUAGUGACUGAGCUAUAAUAGCGAGCAUUGCUAUAAAAGUUACAUUUUAAAUGAAGAAAAAAAGCCUUAAAAUAUACCAUAUAUAUCAUAAACCAUAUAAAAAAAACCUAUAAAUAUUUCUUAAUCGCAAAAACAUUUGUAUAUUUUUUCAAAAAUGUAAAUCCUUGGUGCCAAAUACAUUGCAAAUGCAUGUAUGCAUUGUUUUAAUGUGAAAAGUUAGAUAUUUCCUUUUUAGAGUGUGACGAUCUUCAGCUCAUUUAUCAUUUCAGCAUUUACAGCCCAUUAGCCAGACAUACAUAAUUAGUUACGGUAUGUACAGAGAGACAAAAGACAAAAAAAGGCAGACAGAUAUGUAAAAAUAAUAGUCACAGAAACAUACAUUUAUAGGAUGGAAAUAAAAAGUGAAAACAUAGUUCCCAUAGACGCUGACAACUCCAUUCUAUUUUACUUUAUUGCAUAUUAAUUUUACACAAUUGUGCCUGCUUGUCCAUUAUUAUCGUGACUCAUUAGCAACACAACAGUGUCUCCCUGUAUCCCCCUACUGCAGCCCCCUUCACACUGGCUAUUCUGCAUUUAUAAAAGUCUGCAGAUAAUGCAUUAGAUGUGUUUACUGGAUGUAUCCAACGCAUAUAUAAUAUGCAUGUGUGUGGAUAAAUACACAGCUCAUUGGGAUAUGGGAAUUGAACAAUGCAUGUUUUUCUCUUUUCACUUUUUCAUGUUGUACCGUGUGAAUCGUUACUUCUUAUUCAUUAACACCCAUCACAGCUAGCCGUCACCCUUCAGUCCCUUUUCGUUCAGAGAUACAAUGUGGAGCAUAAGAAAAUAACAAAUGAAAAAAGUAUCCAUGGCAACAACAGUACAGCAAGUUCUCUUUUUUGCAGCUUUUAGUUCAAAUGUAAUUCUCUGAAGUUAAACAGCAACUGCUCAUAACAUCCAAGGUCUUUAAAGAGAGAUUGUGUCUGUCGCCUUUGUGAGCAAAAUGUGCAGAAUCUGUUCAGUAGUUUAAAAAAAAAUCCACUCAAGGAUUUCAGUUUUUGUCGUCUUCUCCUUUAUAUGAUGAAGCAUAAAAGAGCGAAGUUAUCCGUCAUCAGGAAACAACAGCAGCAAAAAGGAGACACAUGAAGGAAACAGAGGUUGACGGAGAUAUAAAAGAGGCUCCUCCACAGUCAUCGGCGUUCUCCUGCAGAGACAAAGCAGAAAAUGAUUUCACCUGGCGAGUCUUCAAUUUGCUACCAAGCAUUGACGAAAAUGUGAUGUAUUCAAACAGAAAAUCAUUUUAGGGCCACAGAAGCAGUUGAGUAAGACGAGAGAAGAAUGCUGGUUUUAUGCAUGCAUGUUUAAACACAUGUACAACCCAAUUUUCAAAAACACAAAGAUGCUCUGAAAAGGUAAAUUAAAACUAGUACAAAGACAAAAUAUUGAAUAUUGAAUGAAAUAAAGUAAUGUGCAAAAGUCUUGAGUCAGGAAACUGGGAAGGCCUUUGCUUAUGACCACUUAAAAAAUUACAACAGUC
Molecule: long non-coding RNA, 1893 nt
Organism: Astatotilapia calliptera (eastern happy)
Lineage: Eukaryota; Metazoa; Chordata; Actinopteri; Cichliformes; Cichlidae
Source: Ensembl